ACAAAAGCAAUGAAGGGUAGCAGUAAAUAAGUUUUCAUUUUAAGAGAGUGGAUGGUUGGUGUGAAUCCAUAAUGAAAGUUAUUGAAUCCGACCUGAAGCUGUGUAGGAGUAACAACCUAUGCCGGAGUUAUCCGUUAUAUAAUGAGGCUGCUGUAAUGCAGUAAACUAAGGUGGUACCACGUAGAUAUGUAAGAAUAUAUCUCCGUCCUUGAU
Clostridium botulinum D str. 1873 is the source of this 213-nucleotide non-coding RNA. The record is from Rfam. NCBI's taxonomy places the organism in Bacteria, Bacillati, Bacillota, Clostridia, Eubacteriales, Clostridiaceae.